RNAcentral lists this ribosomal RNA (253 nucleotides) under uncultured bacterium. RNAcentral describes it as "partial 16S ribosomal RNA". It matches the Rfam family "Bacterial small subunit ribosomal RNA", at positions 524 to 776 of the family's 1533-position model. The record is from RNAcentral.
AACGUAGGACGCAAGCGUUAUCCGGAGUUACUGGGCGUAAAGCGCGGGCAGGCGGCUCGAAACGUCUGAUGUGAAAUCUCCUCGCUCAACGGGGAGAGGCCAUUGGAAACGGUCGAGCUGGAGGGCAGUAGAGGUAGGCGGAAUUCCGGGUGGAGUGGUGAAAUGCGUAGAGAUCAGCAGGAACACCCGUGGUGAAGGCGGCCCCCUGGGCCGUACCUGACGCUGAGGCGCGAAAGCGUGGGGAGCAAACAGG